Molecule: transfer RNA, 64 nt
Filed under: Closteromerus claviger
Lineage: Eukaryota; Metazoa; Arthropoda; Insecta; Coleoptera; Cerambycidae
Description: tRNA-Phe
Source: RNAcentral
ACUUAAAUAGCUUAUUUAGAGCAUAAUAUUGAAGAUAUUAAGGUAAUAUAAUUAUUUUUAAGUA